CCUACGGGAGGCAGCAGUGGGGAAUAUUGCACAAUGGGGGAAACCCUGAUGCAGCGACGCCGCGUGAGUGAAGAAGUAUUUCGGUACGUAAAGCUCUAUCAGCAGGGAAGAAAAUGACGGUACCUGACUAAGAAGCCCCGGCUAACUACGUGCCAGCAGCCGCGGUAAUACGUAGGGGGCAAGCGUUAUCCGGAUUUACUGGGUGUAAAGGGAGCGUAGACGGCAGCGCAAGUCUGGAGUGAAAUCCCAUGGCUUAACCAUGGAACUGCUUUGGAAACUGUACAGCUAGAGUGCAGGAGAGGUAAGCGGAAUUCCUAGUGUAGCGGUGAAAUGCGUAGAUAUUAGGAGGAACACCAGUGGCGAAGGCGGCUUACUGGACUGUAACUGACGUUGAGGCUCGAAAGCGUGGGGAGCAAACAGGAUUAGAUACCCCUGUAGUC
Molecule: ribosomal RNA, 440 nt
Filed under: uncultured bacterium
Lineage: Bacteria
Description: partial 16S ribosomal RNA
Rfam family: Bacterial small subunit ribosomal RNA
Source: RNAcentral